This 253-nucleotide ribosomal RNA is filed under the name uncultured bacterium. RNAcentral's name for it is "partial 16S ribosomal RNA". It matches the Rfam family "Bacterial small subunit ribosomal RNA", at positions 524 to 776 of the family's 1533-position model. The record is from RNAcentral.
UACGUAGGGUGCAAGCGUUGUCCGGAAUUAUUGGGCGUAAAGAGCUCGUAGGCGGUCUGUCGCGUCUGCUGUGAAAACUCAGGGCUUAACCCUGAGCUUGCAGUGGGUACGGGCAGACUAGAGUGCGGUAGGGGAGACUGGAAUUCCUGGUGUAGCGGUGAAAUGCGCAGAUAUCAGGAGGAACACCGGUGGCGAAGGCGGGUCUCUGGGUCGUAACUGACGCUGAGGAGCGAAAGCAUGGGGAGCGAACAGG